CUACCCUUGACAUGUCCGGAAUCCUGCAGAGAUGCGGGAGUGCCCGAAAGGGAAUCGGAACACAGGUGCUGCAUGGCUGUCGUCAGCUCGUGUCGUGAGAUGUUGGGUUAAGUCCCGCAACGAGCGCAACCCUUAUCAUUAGUUGCUACGCAAGGGCACUCUAAUGAGACUGCCGGUGACAAACCGGAGGAAGGUGGGGAUGACGCCAAGUCCUCAUGGCCCUUAUGGGUAGGGCUUCACACGUCAUACAAUGGUCGGUACAGAGGGUUGCCAAGCCGCGAGGUGGAGCCAAUCCCAGAAAGCCGAUCGUAGUCCGGAUUGUUCUCUGCAACUCGAGAGCAUGAAGUCGGAAUCGCUAGUAAUCGCGGAUCAGCAUGUCGCGGUGAAUACGUUCCC
RNAcentral lists this ribosomal RNA (396 nucleotides) under uncultured bacterium. Its description in RNAcentral is "bacterial SSU rRNA". It matches the Rfam family "Bacterial small subunit ribosomal RNA", at positions 975 to 1375 of the family's 1533-position model. The record is from RNAcentral.